UUUAGAUUAUUAAUAGAUAUAGUCUUUAAAUUCGAAGAAUUUGGCGGUGGAUUAGACUUGUUAGAGGAACCUGUUUUUUAAUCGAUAUACCACGCAGAAUCUUACUUACUUUAUUAGUUUGUAUACCGUCAUUAUCAGAUGAUUUUUAUAGAACAAAUUGUUAAAAUUUAAAUAGAUAAAAAUUAACUUAGAUCAAGGUGCGGCUUAUAAGUAAGCUAAAAUGGGUUACAAUAAAAUUUAUUUACUAUGAAUUAACUAGAAGAAAUAAUAUUAUGAAGGAGGAUUUAAUUGUAAUUAAAGUUUAAUAAGCUUUAAAGAUAUAAGCUCUAAACCAU
This 335-nucleotide ribosomal RNA is filed under the name Etisus frontalis. RNAcentral's name for it is "partial 12S ribosomal RNA". Lineage: Eukaryota; Metazoa; Arthropoda; Malacostraca; Decapoda; Xanthidae. The record is from RNAcentral.